GAAAUGCGAUAAGUAAUGUGAAUUGCAGAAUUCAGUGAAUCAUCGAAUCUUUGAACGCACAUUGCGCCCGCCAUUAUUCUGGCGGGCAUGCCUGUCCGAGCGUCAUUUCAACCAUCAAGCCCCCGGGCUUGUGUUGGGGACCUGCGGCUGCCCGCAGGCCCUGAAAACCAGUGGCGGGCUCGCUGUCACACCGAGCGUAGUAGCAAUCACCUCGCUCAGGGCGUGCUGCGGGUUCCGGCCGUUAAACAGCCUUACAAAACCCAAGGUUGACCUCGGAUCAGGUAGGAAGACCCGCUGAACUUAAGC
Molecule: unclassified non-coding RNA, 306 nt
Filed under: plant metagenome
Description: partial contains 5.8S ribosomal RNA, internal transcribed spacer 2, and large subunit ribosomal RNA
Rfam family: 5.8S ribosomal RNA (bases 1-105)
Source: RNAcentral